RNAcentral lists this small nuclear RNA (136 nucleotides) under Chelydra serpentina (North American snapping turtle). RNAcentral's name for it is "U4 spliceosomal RNA (ENSCSRG00000019837.1)". It matches the Rfam family "U4 spliceosomal RNA". From Rfam's summary of the family: U4 small nuclear RNA (U4 snRNA) is a component of the major U2-dependent spliceosome. The structure of U4 snRNA from yeast and human has been reported. Lineage: Eukaryota; Metazoa; Chordata; Testudines; Chelydridae. The record is from Rfam by way of RNAcentral.
AACCAGUGGCAGUAUCAUAGCCAAUGAGGUGAAUCUGAGGCGUGAUUAUUGCUAGUUGAAAACAUGCACUUAAAGUGCUUUGCUGAAUAGCAGUAGGGUUCAGCACAUGCUUAAAGUUUAGCAUGUGCUUCUGUGC